Molecule: ribosomal RNA, 1590 nt
Filed under: Alauda gulgula
Lineage: Eukaryota; Metazoa; Chordata; Aves; Passeriformes; Alaudidae
Description: 16S ribosomal RNA
Rfam family: Bacterial large subunit ribosomal RNA (bases 81-1509)
Source: RNAcentral
UGCCAAACCCUAGCCCAAUCUACCUGACCUGGAAUAACAAAGCUACUCCCAAAACCCAACUAAAGCAUUCAUUAGUCCCAGUAUAGGCGAUAGAAAAGACACCAUUGGAGCGAUAGAGAUCACGUACCGUAAGGGAAAGGUGAAAUAGAAGUGAAAACUAAGCUAAAAACAGCAAAGAUCAGCCCUUGUACCUUUUGCAUCAUGGUCUAGCAAGAAAAACCAAGCAAAAUGAAUUGAAGUUUGCCUCCCCGAAACCUAAGCGAGCUACUCGUGAGCAGCUAACUUGAGCGAACCCGUCUCUGUUGCAAAAGAGUGGGAUGACUUGCUAGUAGCGGUGAAAAGCCAACCGAGCUGGGUGAUAGCUGGUUGCCUGUGAGACGAAUCUAAGUUCACUCUUAAUCCUUCUCCAAGGAAACCCCGAACCCUAAUGAAGCGGAUUAAGGGCAAUUUAAAGGAGGGACAGCUCCUUUAAAAAAGAAAACAAUCUCCACCAGCGGAUAAGUAAUUACUCCAAAAGCUAAUGUGGGCCCUCAAGCAGCCAUCAAUAAAGAGUGCGUUAAAGCUCAACACCUCAAAAAUAUAGAAUCAACAUGAAUCCCUCACCACUAACAGGCCAACCUAUGACAAUAGGAGAAUUAAUGCUAGAAUGAGUAACCAGGGUAAACCCCUCUACGACGCAAGCUUACAUCUGUACAUUAUUAACAAGCACCCAAUAUACGACAAAUCCAACAAGCAUAGUAUUAAACACCUUGUUAACCCGACAGAGGAGCGUCCGUAAGAAAGAUUAAAACCUGUAAAAGGAACUCGGCAAACCCAAGGCCCGACUGUUUACCAAAAACAUAGCCUUCAGCAAACCAAAGAACAAGUAUUGAAGGUGAUGCCUGCCCGGUGACGCAGUUCAACGGCCGCGGUAUCCUAACCGUGCAAAGGUAGCGCAAUCAAUUGUCCCAUAAAUCGGGACACGUAUGAAUGGCUAAACGAGGUCUUAACUGUCUCUUACAGGCAAUCGGUGAAAUUGAUCUCCCUGUGCAAAAGCAGGGAUAAUCCCAUAAGACGAGAAGACCCUGUGGAACUUCAAAAACAGCAACCACCCCAAUAUACAUCCACACCCACCCCGGGCGCACUUAUUCCUAAAGCACUGGUUAGCAUUUUUUCGGUUGGGGCGACCUUGGAGCAAAACAAAACCUCCAAAAAUUGGACCAUCCCUCCAGACUAAGAGCAACUCCUCAACGUGCCAACAGCACCCAGACCCAAUAUAAUUGAUCAAUGGACCAAGCUACCCCAGGGAUAACAGCGCGAUCUCCCCCGAGAGUUCAUAUCGACGGGGAGGUUUACGACCUCGAUGUUGGAUCAGGACAUCCUAGUGGUGCAGGGGCUACUAAGGGUUCGUUUGUUCAACGAUUAACAGUCCUACGUGAUCUGAGUUCAGACCGGAGCAAUCCAGGUCGGUUUCUAUCUAUGAUGAACUCUUCCUCGUACGAAAGGAUCGGAAAAGUGAGGCCAAUACCACAAGCAAGCCUUCGCCUUAAGUAAUGAAACCAACUCAAUUACAAAAGGCUAUCACACCCCCCCCAUCCUAGAAAAGGACCA